Molecule: transfer RNA, 72 nt
Filed under: Verticillium alfalfae VaMs.102
Lineage: Eukaryota; Fungi; Ascomycota; Sordariomycetes; Glomerellales; Plectosphaerellaceae
Description: tRNA-Met (CAT) (tRNA-Met-CAT-4-1)
Rfam family: tRNA
About the family: Transfer RNA (tRNA) molecules are approximately 80 nucleotides in length. Their secondary structure includes four short double-helical elements and three loops (D, anti-codon, and T loops).
Source: Rfam by way of RNAcentral
GCCCGGCUAGCUCAAUCGGUAGAGCGUGAGACUCAUAUUAACAAGGUGGGGGGUUCGAGCCCCCGGCGGGCU